RNAcentral lists this ribosomal RNA (433 nucleotides) under uncultured bacterium. Its description in RNAcentral is "partial 16S ribosomal RNA". It matches the Rfam family "Bacterial small subunit ribosomal RNA", at positions 29 to 507 of the family's 1533-position model. The record is from RNAcentral.
AACGAACGCUGGCGGCAUGCCUAACACAUGCAAGUCGAACGAGACCUUCGGGUCUAGUGGCGCACGGGUGCGUAACGCGUGGGAACCUGCCCUUAGGUUCGGAAUAACUCCCCGAAAGGGGUGCUAAUACCGGAUAAUGUCUUCGGACCAAAGAUUUAUCGCCUUUGGAUGGGCCCGCGUUGGAUUAGCUAGUUGGUAGGGUAAAAGCCUACCAAGGCGACGAUCCAUAGCUGGUCUGAGAGGAUGAUCAGCCACACUGGGACUGAGACACGGCCCAGACUCCUACGGGAAGCAGCAGUGGGGAAUAUUGGACAAUGGGCGAAAGCCUGAUCCAGCAAUGCCGCGUGAGUGAUGAAGGCCUUAGGGUUGUAAAGCUCUUUUAGCCGGGAUGAUAAUGACAGUACCGGGAGAAUAAGCUCCGGCUAACUCCGUG